Molecule: small RNA, 397 nt
Filed under: Escherichia coli
Lineage: Bacteria; Pseudomonadati; Pseudomonadota; Gammaproteobacteria; Enterobacterales; Enterobacteriaceae
Description: cspA
Rfam family: cspA thermoregulator
Source: RNAcentral
CGUUAAUGGUGUUCUGGUUUGUUACAAAAUUAUCUGAAGCAGUCAUUGUUAUAAUUUUAUUAUUUGUACCUCUUGAGAUUUCCUUGUUGGUUUUUCUCUCUGAUAUUUUUUUCGGACCAUUCUGCCCAAGGGCUAACUUCUUCAAAAGGUAAUAAUGAUGUCUAACAAAAUGACUGGUUUAGUGAAAUGGUUUAACCCUGAAAAAGGUUUUGGUUUCAUCACGCCGAAAGAUGGUAGCAAAGAUGUGUUUGUCCAUUUCUCAGCUAUUCAGAGCAACGAUUUCAAAACGUUAACUGAGAAUCAGCAAGUCGAAUUUGGUAUUGAGAACGGACCUAAAGGCCCCGCGGCUGUUCAUGUAGUGGCACUUUGAGGUAGAAAAUAUUACAAACCAUAUUCA